UAUGUUUAUACAACAACAACAGCAACAACAACAACAACAACAUCGGGGAAUAUCCAUACGACUCCUAGCUUUUAUAGUGCGAUUUGCUGUAAAAAUCAGCAAGUUCUGAAGACUGGAGCGUAGUACUUGUAUACGUUAUGUGAAGCCUUUUUUGUAAUACUCCCGGCGCCUUUGGAGGCGCUGCGCUUUGAGUAUGAUGGCAGCAGUUUAUUCGUACCAACCAGUUAUUUUCCAAGCAAAGCCAUUGUGAUGGGCGCACGCAAAAUAUCCAGUAUACUUGUUCUGUCGCUGCUGUUUGCUGCUUUUGCUUACAACAUCGUAAAAGUAAAUUAAUGCAGCGCGAGGUCGCAUUUUCACGAAGUUGCACAAAUAAGCUCCCCGAUUGUAGCGACCUUUUCUUGCCGAUCAUCGCACAUGCUGCAUCGAAUAUCGCGUACCGUAUGUGACUUUUCCAUAAAUCAUACCCUGCGCUCCUGCGGCGCACGCAGAGAACGGAUACAACAAAGGACUCCCUUCCAACGGAACGAGCACCCCUUAAGCGCCUUCCUUUGGACUGCGAUGCCGACCGGUUGCGCCAGCAUGCACCCACCACGCCUGCUGUCCACCCACUGUCCUUGGGCGCCGCCCAUGUCGAUCUACCCGAUGAGUUUCCGUGCCUGGCCCAGUCGCCGUGCAUGCUCUGCAGACGCAGUCGCGCCUUUCCAUGGAUAUUCUGUCUGUGCCCAGCAACGUGGGCCCCGAGACGGUCUCGCCGAACAACCACAUCACGAUGGUCAGCGAUCCGCCGUACGGUCCACCUGAGACCUCCGUCAUUCUGCUGGGCUAUUUGACGGUUUUUGGCAGUAUCCUGGUGAUGAUGUCGCUCCGCGUCGACAAACAACUGAUGUAAAUACGGGUUGACCGGUUUAUUACGACCUUAAUCACAAGCCGACGGAUGCUCCGAACUGGUGCCCAAUGGUUCCAGGCGCUGCCGGAGGCGGCGGCAGCGGUGGAGUUCCAACGGCGGUGGAAGCGGCGCGGACGGGAGUGGUCCAGGUACUUCGGGCAGGGCUGCCGGUGGUGGCAGUUUGCGUGGUGGAGCCGGCAGUGCAGGUGGCGGAAGUGGGGCGGGCGGUGGUUCAACCGGGGGUGGUAGUGGAGAUGGCAGCUCAGGUUCAGAUGGAAAUGACAGUGAUAAGCAGGAAACCGGCUCAAAGGGCACCAUAGCAAGCGGCAAAUGGGCACUCUGUUAAUCCAGGAGUAACAACCAUCGCCACAUUUAUUAAAUUAUGCAGAAAUGUACACUUAAAGUGUCCGAAAUAUGAGACAUAUCCAAGUACUAAUGGAGUCAGUGGUUCCGGUGCCAGUAGAGUCAGUUUGAACUGCAAAAUGGCGGAUAUAUGGAGAUUGGAUGAACUGAUCCGUCUGAAUCAGCCUGGUGAGCGGUGUUGGCGAAAGAAUACACUAUGCAAUUUAACCUUUGAAGGACCAAAGCUGUUAAGGAAGGAGGUGUACGAUGCCGGUGCUAUUGGUGAUUAGCCGGAUGUGCGCGUGCGUCUUAUUGCGUGCCAGCCGGAAGCCGGCAACAGGAUGGCGCCAGUCGCGUGGAUUUCUGAUUCCAACCAUUCGGUAGGAUACCUAAUUGACAGCUGCUUAUCCGAGCGAGGUCAUGUUUGCAUAUUUCCGGAAGAGAACUGUGGUAUAAACGGCUGUCUACGCGCGCACCCGCUCUGGGGCGACUACUUGGUGUGAACUACCAGUCUGCUGCUGUCGACGGCUGUCGACUGGAAACGAAAGUUUGCAAUAUUUUUCUCCAUGCUGCAGCGAUCUAACAACUGCACAGUACACUGAUUUUUUUUAUUAGAAAAAAAGGAUCAUUAAAAACUACAAGAGUAAAUUCGGUAGUUAGUUAUUUCCGCACUUAUCACUGCAUUUUCAUCAGCUCUGUGUUGACACUCGACAGCCUCAUACCGAUACGAAGGCCUCCCAGCGUAGGAUGAUCGUCGCUGGCGCCAUCCAAAUAUUUUUCCGGAUAUUUCUCGGAACGCUGACGCGCAAGGACUUGGUGCACAUGCUGGAUAAUAGCCUGGGCUGAAUCCGGUUUCUGCAGAGCGAGGAAGUUCAUGACAGCGAAGGAGUCCGUCCAGAGAUAGCGCGGGAGCCCCGGGGUGGUUGCGCUGGCGACAGCGCCUGUACGCUGCACGUAGCUUUCCAUCAGUUGCAGCGCGAGAGAUUUGCUCAUUAUGGCGGUUAUGCGCGAUGAACAGGAGAAUAAAAUUUUAAAUAUACACAGGAAAAAUGAUGCAUUCAUGCACUAAAACUUAGCAGCCAGAACAAGGAUAAAACAGCGCAUUUUUCUCCCGAAAAAAUUUCACUAACCAAAAUAACUGGGAUUUUCCAGCGCUCUGAAUAGCCGCAUAAUUGUCACCGGAAGUGGUGGAUUGCGGCGAAGGUUCACACUUGUACGAA
Molecule: long non-coding RNA, 2448 nt
Organism: Paramacrobiotus metropolitanus
Lineage: Eukaryota; Metazoa; Tardigrada; Eutardigrada; Parachela; Macrobiotidae
Exons: 6
Source: RefSeq, a predicted model, not a curated record